CUCGCUUCUCGGCCUUUUGGCUAAGAUCAAGUGUAGUAUCUGUUCUUAUCAGUUUCAGACGGUGACCCAAAGCACUGGGGGGGAUGGGUGCUACAUGGAGGGGACAGGUGUUCCUGGGCUGGUUCUGAGGAAUCAGCUCAACGGCUGCCCUGAUGUGACCUGUUUCCUCCGGGUCUCGCUUUGAGGCUGGGAGAGUCUAG
Small nuclear RNA from Hyla sarda, 200 nucleotides. RefSeq annotates it as U2 spliceosomal RNA. Lineage: Eukaryota; Metazoa; Chordata; Amphibia; Anura; Hylidae. The record is from RefSeq and is a predicted model, not a curated record. The transcript has a single exon.